AACCCGAUGGGCCAUCCACACACCCCAUCCGCCAGAGAACUACGAAGUGAAAAACUUAAAACUCUAAGGACUUGACGGUGCCCCACACCAGCCUAGAGGAGCCUGUCCUAUAAUCGAUACUCCACGCUAAACCUUUCCCCCCCUCGUACUAAAUCAGCCUAUAUACCGCCGUCGCCAGCUUGCCUAGUGAUAGACUUAAAGCAAGCAAAACAGUAAUCCCACUAGCACGUCAGGUCAAGGUGUAGCUAACGGGGGGGCCAGAGAUGGGCUACAUUUUCUAGCAACUAGAAAACACUUCAGGCUAUAUGAAAUCUAAGCCACCCGGCGGAUUUAGCAGUAAAUCUGGGCAAAGAAGUGCCCCUAUUGAAACAUGCCCUGGGGGCGCGUACACAC
Molecule: ribosomal RNA, 393 nt
Filed under: Phyllodactylus johnwrighti
Lineage: Eukaryota; Metazoa; Chordata; Lepidosauria; Squamata; Phyllodactylidae
Description: partial 12S ribosomal RNA
Rfam family: Bacterial small subunit ribosomal RNA
Source: RNAcentral